UCACAGGGGUGGCCGCGCGCUACCUGUCGAGGAAGAGGGAAGAGCUCCAGUUCCACAGUCAGGCCAUUUCAGUCCCAAGGAAAGACACUAGUCUGUCCCACUGAAACCUGAAUAUUCACGCCCGGUUUGCCAGAAGAGCUGAAGAAUUAGGUCCAUCUUCAGGAUGCGGUGAACCAGUGUCCCAAGAACAGCACCAGGAGACACUGAACAGGACACCAUCUCCCAUUGCCGCUGGAGCUCCAGGCACAGCUGAUGAUUGGUACAGCUGAGCCUGUGGGAAGCUCACAUGGCUUCUGGCCCUUCCCUUCCUGUAGAUACCUCCCUCCCUCCAGCCCUCAGACACUGCCCAUUCCCUCUUCCCCUCCCAUAUCACCCCUUGUUUUUGGAUUUCAUUAAUAAACGGUUUGGCUUCUUCA
This is a long non-coding RNA of Passer domesticus (house sparrow), 416 nucleotides long. RefSeq lists it as uncharacterized. Lineage: Eukaryota; Metazoa; Chordata; Aves; Passeriformes; Passeridae. The transcript has 2 exons. The record is from RefSeq and is a predicted model, not a curated record.